Molecule: ribosomal RNA, 493 nt
Filed under: uncultured bacterium
Lineage: Bacteria
Description: partial 16S ribosomal RNA
Rfam family: Bacterial small subunit ribosomal RNA
Source: RNAcentral
ACGAACGCUGGCGGCGCGCUUCACACAUGCAAGUCGAACGGAAAGGCCUGCUUUCCCUUGUGGAUUGCGGGUACUCGAGUGGCGAACGGGUGAGUAACACGUGAGUGAUCUGCCCCCAACUUGGGUAUAAGCCUGGGAAACUGGGUCUAAUUCCCGAUAGGACUGCAGGGUGGUGCCUGUGGUGGAAAACGAUUUUCUAGUGGUUGGGGAUGGGCUCGCGGCCUAUCAGCUUGUUGGUGGGGUAAUGGCCUACCAAGGCGGCGACGGGUAGCCGGCCUGAGAGGGUGGACGGCCACAUUGGGACUGGGAUACGGCCCAGACUCCUACGGGAGGCAGCAGUGGGGAAUAUUGCACAAUGGGCGGAAGCCUGAUGCAGCGACGCCGCGUGGGGGAUGACGGCCUUCGGGUUGUAAACUCCUUUCGACCGCGAGGAAGCCACCUGGUUGGAAGGGUGGUGACGGUAGUGGUAGAAGAAGCACCGGCUAACUACGUG